GCAAAGGUCAGAUUAGGUGGGUCACUGCGGAGUUUCUGUCCUUCUGAAGGUGCUGAGGACCCACUCGGGGAUUUCUAACUUGGCAGAGACUUCAUCCAUUCCAUGGGUACAGUAACAGCUCCUAAGGAAGUAACCUCCUCUUUGGGGAGCAACUAGUCACAGGGUGGAAGGUGGGAUGGAACCAUUGUUACCUGGACAGGCCUGGGCUGGAAUUCCUUUCAGACCCUUAAUUGAUUCGCCUGCUUGAGGAGCCUUCAGUUCCUGGUGACAAAGAUGCUGCGACAGCGGAUGGCAGGCAGCAAGGUCAUGGACGACUCCCGCGAGGCCGCUGCGCUCACUCGGAAUCUCAGAACCAGGAGGACCCGCUGCGCGAGCAGACGCGGCUCCUUCCGAUCCAGAAGGGGAACCGCGCUUCCUAGCCUCCGCUCUCCAGACCACAGCCUGUCCUGUAAUUAGCGGAGCGGGUUCAUCUGAGCUCUGCAAAUCAUGGGCUUUCCACGAAAUAAUGAUGGUUCUGCUGCUCUGGGACAUGAGCACCUCGAAACCUGAAA
Molecule: long non-coding RNA, 551 nt
Organism: Odocoileus virginianus texanus
Lineage: Eukaryota; Metazoa; Chordata; Mammalia; Artiodactyla; Cervidae
Source: RefSeq, a predicted model, not a curated record